UACGUAGGUGGCAAGCGUUGUCCGGAAUUACUGGGUGUAAAGGGCGUGUAGGCGGGAAGAUAAGUCAGAUGUGAAAGCCCAAGGCUCAACCGUGGGACUGCAUUUGAAACUAUCUUUCUUGAGUGCAGGAGAGGAAAGUGGAAUUCCUAGUGUAGCGGUGAAAUGCGUAGAUAUUAGGAGGAACACCAGUGGCGAAGGCGACUUUCUGGACUGUAACUGACGCUGAGGCGCGAAAGCGUGGGGAGCAAACAGG
RNAcentral lists this ribosomal RNA (253 nucleotides) under uncultured bacterium. RNAcentral describes it as "partial 16S ribosomal RNA". It matches the Rfam family "Bacterial small subunit ribosomal RNA", at positions 524 to 776 of the family's 1533-position model. The record is from RNAcentral.